RNAcentral lists this ribosomal RNA (224 nucleotides) under uncultured bacterium. RNAcentral describes it as "partial 16S ribosomal RNA". It matches the Rfam family "Bacterial small subunit ribosomal RNA", at positions 116 to 334 of the family's 1533-position model. The record is from RNAcentral.
CGUGGGUAACCUGCCUGGUAGCGGGGGAUAACUAUUGGAAACGAUAGCUAAUACCGCAUAACAGUCGACAUUGCAUGAUGUUGAUUUGAAAGGGGGCAAUUGCUCCACUACCAGAUGGACCUGCGUUGUAUUAGCUAGUUGGUGAGGUAACGGCUCACCAAGGCGACGAUACAUAGCCGACCUGAGAGGGUGAUCGGCCACACUGGGACUGAGACACGGCCCAG